UUGGAGGGCAAGUCUGGUGCCAGCAGCCGCGGUAAUUCCAGCUCCAAUAGCGUAUAUUAAAGUUGUUGCAGUUAAAAAGCUCGUAGUUGAAUUUCGGGGUUAGUAGGUUGGUCAUGCCUCUGGUAUGUACUGGUCUCACUGAUUCCUCCUUCCUGAUGAGCCGUAAUGCCAUUAAUUUGGUGUUGCGGGGAAUUUGGACUGUUACUUUGAAAAAAUUAGAGUGUUUAAAGCAAGCUAACGCUUGAAUACAUUAGCAUGGAAUAAUGAAAUAGGACGUUCGAUCCUAUUUUGUUGGUUUCUAGGAUUGACGUAAUGAUUAAUAGGGAUAGUUGGGGGCAUUAGUAUUCAAUUGUCAGAGGUGAAAUUCUUGGAUUUAUUGAAGACUAACUACUGCGAAAGCAUUUGCCAAGGAUGUUUUCAUUAAUCAAGAACGAAAGUUAGGGGAUCGAAGACGAUCAGAUACCGUCGUAGUCUUAACCAGAAACUAUGCCGACUAGGGAUCGGAUGAUGUUAAUUUUUUAAUGACUCAUUCGGCGCCUUACGGGAAAC
RNAcentral lists this ribosomal RNA (549 nucleotides) under uncultured Glomus. Its description in RNAcentral is "SSU rRNA". It matches the Rfam family "Eukaryotic small subunit ribosomal RNA", at positions 548 to 1098 of the family's 1831-position model. The record is from RNAcentral. Lineage: Eukaryota; Fungi; Glomeromycota; Glomeromycetes; Glomerales; Glomeraceae.